Non-coding RNA from Drosophila virilis, 345 nucleotides. Lineage: Eukaryota; Metazoa; Arthropoda; Insecta; Diptera; Drosophilidae. The record is from RefSeq and is a predicted model, not a curated record.
UUUGUCAAGUAAAUGGAAACACAUUAUAUUUCAAAUUUCUUUUUGUCAUGGUUUUUUCAAAGAUGAAUUCUGCACUUAAGGUGAAAACUUUGAUUGGUUUAUUUAAUUCACAUGACUUUUGUGUAAGAUCGAUAUUAUACGUUCUGGCAAUUUUAGAGUCUUUUGCAUUGAUAUUCCCUGGUGUGGGCUGCUUUCAGAGUUCUGUUAAUAUAGCAUCAAAAAUUGCCUUAAGCUUAUUUGCCAAGCAAAAUUAACCAAGUGUGAUGAGCAGAACAGCAAAAGCCACUGUAAAAUAUAUAUAUAUAAGAAUUAAAUAUGUUUGUGUACAUGUACCUACUUGAUGUA